This 646-nucleotide ribosomal RNA is filed under the name Ylistrum balloti. RNAcentral describes it as "partial 12S ribosomal RNA". It matches the Rfam family "Bacterial small subunit ribosomal RNA", at positions 524 to 1490 of the family's 1533-position model. The record is from RNAcentral. Lineage: Eukaryota; Metazoa; Mollusca; Bivalvia; Pectinida; Pectinidae.
AACCUGAGUAACUCAAGUUAAGCGGUAAAGUGCAAAAGGUGGUUAGACGGCCUGCUCCAUUAUGGAGAGUUGUUAUUAAAAAUUAGGGAGCCUACCCCGAGGGGAAGGGGUGUAAUCCAGGUCUCCCUCGGAGGAAGGGGGGAAUGUUUCCUUUGGGCUGAGGCCACGGAACCGGGAAGCCGAAGACAUGGAUUUGAGACCCAUUUAUUACCGACGCAAACUUUGCUUUUCAGGCAGCUGCUUGGGGACUACGAGCGUGUGCUUAAAACUCAAAGAACUUGGCGGCUUGUUAACUACCUAGGGGAAUAUGUGCCUUAAUCCGAUGAUCCCCGUCGCAUCUUACUAGGUCUUGAAAAAGUGCAGCUGGUGUAUUGCCGUUGUCAGCUUGUUGUUCGAGCAAGGAGUAACAGGCUCAAUGGAGCCGUAGCGAUUAUAUCGUUGGUGUCCGUGAAUUCAGGUCGUAAUACCGCCCACGGCCUAAGGGAGUAGGUGUUACAAUUUAGAUUUAAAAUACGGAUCUUUAUUUUGAAAUAUUAGGGUGAAGGUGAACUUAGGAGUAAGGGGGAAUUAAUAUGUUUCCCUGAACGUGAAUCUGGCUUGUGUACAAACUGCCCGUCGCUCUCGCCGAGAGGUGAGAUAAGUCGUA